Caenorhabditis elegans is the source of this 21-nucleotide non-coding RNA. Lineage: Eukaryota; Metazoa; Nematoda; Chromadorea; Rhabditida; Rhabditidae. The record is from Ensembl.
GUCAAAAAAGAGUAGAAGGAA